AAGGUAACUUCAUCCGCGAAUGCAGGUACAUGUUUUCAUUGGGGUACUUUACGAGGGGCAACCUGUUACCUGGUAUACGCCAUUCUCUAAGUGCUUUUCCAAUGCGCAGAGUUCCUAGUACUCCGAAAAAAAAGGUGGGGGAAAAAAAUAAAAAAUGAUGUUGGAAAACCAGAAUCGUCAGACAUCAUUAAAAGGCAGCGCUAUACCACAGUGCUAACGACAGUGUUAUACCAGACAUAUUGUGAAAAGGUUGUCCUCCUCGUAAAUUAGUGUUGCCCUAGAUUAGCAAAAUAAUUCUGAACAAUGAGGUCCCAUUUCUACAGUUUUGUUAUGAGUGCGUUCCUCUUGCUACCUUAUGAGGUGUAUUCCGACUCGACGCGCGAUUCAAGCACGAUGGAUGACCGGAGCUGUGACGUCCACUGCAAUUCCAUAUGGGGGAGAGUCCCUCUGUUCAACAUUCCGUGGAGUUACGGAGCGUGUGCAAAAGACAAAAGUUGCGUUUGUAAAUUCAACCAUCAAGAUCUGCACCAUUUUAUGAGUAAACCCUGCGUUCAAAGGUCCGUUUGGUCAUCGUCGUUCAAAGGCAAAAAGCAAAUAGCUUCAAAGGAAAUUACGGCGCAAGUUGUUCGCUUGGAUUCACGACAGCGAUUUGAAGUAUUCAAGAGGGCCUACGGGAAACAGUACGGCUCACGGGACGAGGAUCUGAAACGAUAUGAUAUUUUCAGAAAGAACUUGGUCAUAAUCGAUGAGCUUAUGGCCAGGCGAAAAGGAAAUGUCGUUUUUGGAGUCGGCCCAUUCACGGAUUUACAAGUGAGUAGACUACACCACUAGAGAAGAUGCGACUUUUUAAGCAUUCUGAUAAGUUCUCCUGGAGGCACCAUACGACUUGCGUCCCGCGGUCAAAAAAGGAACGACUUGCGUCCCGUGUCCAAAAAUCUCGAAAACGACUUGCGUCCCGCGCUCAAAUCCGAAUUUGAGCUGCCGCCAUGAUUGGCAACACCGCGUACCUGAGUCAAAAUACUAUCAAGCCAAAUUGGAAAAUAUACAAUAAAAUUACCUGAGAUAAGAUGAGGAAACAGGCGUCUAUUGCAAUAUGUAUUAUUUGUACACGUCCAGCGCUGCACAUUGCCCGACAGUAAUUUUUGAUAGCGAAACUUAUAGCCCUCGUUUAUAAUUAACAUUUUGCUACUUUUUGAACUAAACAUGUAUUCAGGGCUCACAGCCAUAUUUCAGUACACGCACUUACACUUGUCGCGGUCGGUCAACAUCUGGCGAGAAACUAUCUUGGGGUUUCCACUGAUCUAAAUGAAGGAAGCUGAUCGUGAUUUGUGAGUGCAAUAUCAUCUUCUGAUAAGAGCUACCGAAAUUCCAUGACCAGGUGUUGUAGCAUGGAUUUGUUGUGGAGCUGCGGUAGCGACGUUGCCAUAUGAUAUGAAUUACAAUCAAAUCAAUCCACCACGGG
Molecule: long non-coding RNA, 1462 nt
Filed under: Bemisia tabaci
Lineage: Eukaryota; Metazoa; Arthropoda; Insecta; Hemiptera; Aleyrodidae
Description: lncRNA ENSSSA2NGG005377
Source: RNAcentral